UAACGGCGAGUGAAGCGGGAACGGCUCAAACUUGAAAUCUUUGUUGCUUGCAACAACGAAUUGUAGUCUCGAGAAGCGUUUUCAAGGCGGAUGGCCGGCGCCCAAGUUGCUUGGAACGGUACAUCAGAGAGGGUGACAAUCCCGUGCUCGGCGUUGACCACCGCUCACGAUGCGCUUUCGACGAGUCGGGUUGCUUGGGAAUGCAGCCCAAAACGGGAGGUAAACUCCUUCUAAAGCUAAAUACUGGCACAAGACCGAUAGCGAACAAGUACCGUGAGGGAAAGAUGAAAAGCACUUUGAAAAGAAAGUUAACAGUACGUGAAACCGUUGAAAGGGAAGCGCAUGGAAUUAGCAAUGCGCUGUCGAGAUUCAGGCCACGGGCGACGGCCACGGGAGUUGCGCUGAUCCGAACGGACUGUCGGCUCCCGUUGACCGGCUCCGCUGGUCGCACUUCCCGGCAGCGUGCGUCAACAAAUGUCGGAAGCGGGCGAAAAGCCUCGCGGGAAGGUAGCCGGCCUCGGCUGGUGUUACAGUCCGUUUGGGUUAGUUCGUUUUUAACAGAGGUGGUGCGGCACACGCCUUUUUUCAAGGGCUGGCCUCGCUCGCCCCGGUUCUUCGUCGACCAGGGCUCACUGCGUGCAGUGGGUUCGAACCGCUUGGGACCGUCGGCGGGACGAGCGCACACGAUGUGCCAAGGUUGUUGGCGGUCAUAUGGUUUCAUACGACCCGUCUUGAAACACGGACCAAGGAGUCUAACAUGUGUGCGAGUCUUCGGGUGAGCGAAACCCAGUGGCACAAUGAAAGUAAAGGCUCGCAAGGGCUGAAGUGAGAUCUCGACGCUGUCGUCGAGCGCAUCAUUGACCGACCUAUUCUACUCCUAGAAAGGUUUGAGUAAGAGCACAUCUGUUGGGACCCGAAAGAUGGUGAACUAUGCUUGAGUAGGGCGAAGCCAGAGGAAACUCUGGUGGAGGCUCGUAGCGAUUCUGACGUGCAAAUCGAUCGUCAAACUUGGGUAUAGGGGCGAAAGACUAAUCGAACCAUCUAGUAGCUGGUUCCCUCCGAAGUUUCCCUUAGGAUAGCUGGGACUCGGUUUGCAGUUUUAUCAGGUAAAGCGAAUGAUUAGAGGUCUUAGGGUUGAAACAACCUUAACCUAUUCUCAAACUUUAAAUUGGUAAGAGGCCCGACUUGCUCAAUUGAAGUAGGGCACAGAAUGAGAGUUCUUAGUGGGCCAUUUUUGGUAAGCAGAACUGGCGAUGCGGGAUGAACCGAACGCCGAGUUAAGGCGCCUAAAUCGACGCUCAUCAGACCCCACAAAAGGUGUUGGUUGAUCCAGACAGCAGGACGGUGGCCAUGGAAGUCGGAAACCGCUAAGGAGUGUGUAACAACACACCUGCCGAAUCAACUAGCCCUGAAAAUGGAUGGCGCUCAAGCGUCGUGCCUAUACUCGGCCGUCGGAGCAAGCGGCUAGGCUUCGACGAGUAGGAGGGCGUGGGGGUCGUGACGCAGCCUUUGGCGCGAGCCUGGGUGAAACGGCCCCUAGUGAAGAUCUUGGUGGUAGUAGCAAAUAUUCAAAUGAGAACUUUGAAGACCGAAGUGGAGAAAGGUUCCAUGUGAACAGCAGUUGGACAUGGGUUAGUCGAUCCUUAGAGAUAGGGAAACUCCGUUUUAAAGCGCCCCAUCGGCGGGCCGAACGUAUCGAAAGGGAAUCGGGUUAAUAUUCCCGAACCGGAACGCGGAUAUUCUACCGCCUCGGCGGAACAGAUUUGCGGCAACGCAACUGAACUCGGAGACGUCGGCAGGAGCCCUGGGAAGAGUUCUCUUUUCUUGUUAACGGCCUGACACCAUGGAAUCUGAUUGCCA
RNAcentral lists this ribosomal RNA (1860 nucleotides) under Candelabrum sp. PC0003. RNAcentral describes it as "eukaryotic LSU rRNA". It matches the Rfam family "Eukaryotic large subunit ribosomal RNA", at positions 84 to 1736 of the family's 3401-position model. The record is from RNAcentral. Lineage: Eukaryota; Metazoa; Cnidaria; Hydrozoa; Anthoathecata; Candelabridae.